Molecule: ribosomal RNA, 433 nt
Filed under: uncultured bacterium
Lineage: Bacteria
Description: partial 16S ribosomal RNA
Rfam family: Bacterial small subunit ribosomal RNA
Source: RNAcentral
AACGAACGCUGGCGGCAUGCCUAACACAUGCAAGUCGAACGAGACCUUCGGGUCUAGUGGCGCACGGGUGCGUAACGCGUGGGAACCUGCCCUUAGGUUCGGAAUAACUCCCCGAAAGGGGUGCUAAUACCGGAUAAUGUCUUCGGACCAAAGAUUUAUCGCCUUUGGAUGGGCCCGCGUUGGAUUAGCUAGUUGGUAGGGUAAAAGCCUACCAAGGCGACGAUCCAUAGCUGGUCUGAGAGGAUGAUCAGCCACACUGGGACUGAGACACGGCCCAGACUCCUACGGGAGGCAGCAGUGGGGAAUAUUGGAAAAUGGGCGAAAGCCUGAUCCAGCAAUGCCGCGUGAGUGAUGAAGGCCUUAGGGUUGUAAAGCUCUUUUACCCGGGAUGAUAAUGACAGUACCGGGAGAAUAAGCACCGGCUAACUCCGUG